GUCCAGAGAAUAUUAACCAUUGUUUUAAACCAAUGCAUUGUGGGAAGCUCAUUCCUUUUCUUCUGUCUUGGCGCUUCUCGCACAUUUCUUUCUUUUUUGAAGUUCGUACCGUGUUGACUGUUUGCAUAUAAAACUAAAAAGAUGGGUGACAGGUUUGAUAAUAAUGAUUUGCGGACUGUAUUUGUUGGAAAGCUUGACUAUGGGGCUGAGGAAGAUGACCUUUCUCAAGUAUUUGAAAGAUAUGGUGUUAUUGAAAAGAUUUCGAUUCCUACUGACCGUGAAACUGGAAGAAAACGUGGAUUUGCUUUUGUAACCUAUCAAAAUUCCAAUGAUGCUCAAGAUGCUGUAGAUGGCGUUCAAAAUGAACAAAUUAACGGACGUGAAAUAACAGUGCAAAUAUCGAAACCAAGACAGGGAGGUGGUGGCAGACCUCGAGGAGGUGGUGGUUACGGAGGGGGCGGUUAUGGUGGUGGCCGAGGACGUGGUGGUGGUUAUGGUGACCGACGUGGUGGUGGUGGUGGAUAUGGCGGUGGCCGUUCAUAUGGAGGAGGUGGUGACAGCUAUGGAAGCCGUUCAUAUGGUAGUGGUGGUGGUAGUGGCGGAGGAAGGUCAUAUGGUGGUGGCAGCAGCUACAACAACAGUGGUUAUUAAAAUCAAUUUACAGACCAACUCAAGUUUAAAAGAAGAUUGGUUUUCAAAUAAAAGCACUAUUCAGGUAAGCUUGUUCAGCGUAGUUUUUUUGGCCUACCACCUGUAAAUUUACUUAGCAGUCCUUUCGUCAAUGCAUCAUGCUUAAAUCUAGAGUCCGGUCAUGCUUCAUGUUGAGUUAACUCAUCAUUUGCAUGGCUGUGAUGUAGUAAUGAAAGUAUUGAUAGACAGAAAGGAAUAAUAACAUUGCAAUAAAUGCCAGCUGUUUGACAACCUCUUUUUAAUGUUGCAUGACGACCAGUUGUUCAUGGCUUUAGCAACACUUAUGUAAGUUACUGUAAAAUUUUUAGUCUACACUUCUGUUUCUCAUUUUGCAAUACAUGUAUUUUUAAUGGCUUGGUUUUUCUAGGUCAGCCGAUCCAGAGGUAUUUCAAUCUAGAGGUGACGACCUGUGUGUGUUAAAUAGGCUUUCUUCUUGCAGACACUCUCCAUAAUUGUUGCUGAAGCUGCGACGAAAAAAAUCAGUGGCGAAGUUUUUCCCUAUGACUCUCAGUCGUGAAUGGACGUGUACGCUGUACUAUUAUAUUCAAAAUACAUAACACGUUAUA
RNA transcript from Hydractinia symbiolongicarpus, 1256 nucleotides. RefSeq lists it as uncharacterized. The transcript has 6 exons. The record is from RefSeq and is a predicted model, not a curated record. NCBI's taxonomy places the organism in Eukaryota, Metazoa, Cnidaria, Hydrozoa, Anthoathecata, Hydractiniidae.